Molecule: long non-coding RNA, 401 nt
Filed under: Gorilla gorilla gorilla (western lowland gorilla)
Lineage: Eukaryota; Metazoa; Chordata; Mammalia; Primates; Hominidae
Description: lncRNA (ENSGGOG00000044486.1)
Source: RNAcentral
GCACAAGUAGGAAGGCACAACCAGGAGCAGAGGGGGGUGGCCAGCCAGAACACAAGUGUGCGGCUUGCAUAAUGGAAGGAGAAAGUCGAAAGUCGGGUAGGAGCCUGGAGUAAACGCUAAAUUCAUAAGGACUGCCUUUAUUCCACAGGCAAAGGAGCAGGAGCACAUCAAAGACUUGCCAAAGAAGCUGCUUAUUUCACAGAAGGAUGGUGCUGGCUGAAAGAUACUUCCUUGAAACUGAGAGAUUGCUUCCUUAGACAGGUCUCCUUGAAGAGGUUGGAGAACUUAAAAACCAUCCAAAAUGAAAUAGCUGUUUAGGUUCAUGGCAUAUAUUCAGACAGAUGUAUUUCUUUGCCCAGACAAGAAUCCAUCAAUUUUCUUCUACUAGAAGUACUUAGAGG